This 400-nucleotide ribosomal RNA is filed under the name uncultured bacterium. RNAcentral's name for it is "bacterial SSU rRNA". It matches the Rfam family "Bacterial small subunit ribosomal RNA", at positions 355 to 772 of the family's 1533-position model. The record is from RNAcentral.
UGGGGAAUAUUGCACAAUGGAGGAAACUCUGAUGCAGCGACGCCGCGUGGAGGAAGAAGGUUUUCGGAUCGUAAACUCCUGUUGUCGGGGACGAUAAUGACGGUACCCGACAAGAAAGUGACGGCUAACUACGUGCCAGCAGCCGCGGUAAAACGUAGGUCACAAGCGUUGUCCGGAAUUACUGGGUGUAAAGGGAGCGCAGGCGGGGAGAUAAGUUGGGAGUGAAAACUAUGGGCUCAACCCAUAAAUUGCUUUCAAAACUAUCUUUCUUGAGUAGUGCAGAGGUAGGCGGAAUUCCCGGUGUAGCGGUGGAAUGCGUAGAUAUCGGGAGGAACACCAGUGGCGAAGGCGGCCUACUGGGCACCAACUGACGCUGAGGCUCGAAAGUAUGGGUAGCAAA